UUGUGGGAAAGAUUCUAUCGGCGUGGGAUGGGGUCGCGUCCUAUCAGCUUGUUGGUGAGGUAACGGCUCACCAAGGCUUCGACGGGUAGCCGGCCUGAGAGGGCGACCGGCCACAUUGGGACUGAGAUACGGCCCAGACUCCUACGGGAGGCAGCAGUGGGGAAUAUUGCACAAUGGGCGCAAGCCUGAUGCAGCGACGCCGCGUGAGGGAUGGAGGCCUUCGGGUUGUAAACCUCUUUUGUUUGGGAGCAAGCCUUCGGGUGAGUGUACCUUUCGAAUAAGCGCCGGCUAACUACGUGCCAGCAGCCGCGGUAAUACGUAGGGCGCAAGCGUUAUCCGGAUUUAUUGGGCGUAAAGGGCUCGUAGGCGGCUCGUCGCGUCCGGUGUGAAAGUCCAUCGCUUAACGGUGGAUCUGCGCCGGGUACGGGCGGGCUG
Molecule: ribosomal RNA, 435 nt
Filed under: Bifidobacterium sp. IR007-113
Lineage: Bacteria; Bacillati; Actinomycetota; Actinomycetes; Bifidobacteriales; Bifidobacteriaceae
Description: bacterial SSU rRNA
Rfam family: Bacterial small subunit ribosomal RNA
Source: RNAcentral